Molecule: long non-coding RNA, 348 nt
Organism: Nothoprocta perdicaria
Lineage: Eukaryota; Metazoa; Chordata; Aves; Tinamiformes; Tinamidae
Exons: 3
Source: RefSeq, a predicted model, not a curated record
GUGUCACAUAUGGCUCAUUCUGGCCUCUUCCUAGGUGGGAAUGGUGUGCGGCGAGAGCCGUGCGGAUUUCUCGCCCGCGCAAACCGGUCAGUCUCAGCGCUGCCAGGCUAAUCCCUCCGCAGUCAGCCUGUACCGCACUACAAUCUUCCAGUCUCUGGUCUUCAAAUUACUCUUUAUCCUAUGUGACUGUUGUCAGAAGGUGCUGCUGCAUACAUAACCAAGGGCAGAAUCUACRCCGCAAUCAGAAUGGAAGUUGAUGACGCAUACAAAGAAAAACACUGGCUUUGCACUCCUACCAAAUAUUAAAAGCUGGGAGCUGUAAAAGCCAGUGGGMACUGACCAGGCUCA